GAUGAACGCUAGCGGGAGGCCUAACACAUGCAAGCCGAGCGGUAGAGUCUCUUCGGAGACUUGAGAGCGGCGCACGGGUGCGGAACACGUGUGCAACCUGCCUUUAUCUGGGGGAUAGCCUUUCGAAGGGAAGAUUAAUACCCCAUAAUAUACUGGAUGGCAUCAUCUGGUAUUGAAAACUCCGGUGGAUAGAGAUGGGCACGCGCAAGAUUAGAUAGUUGGUGAGGUAACGGCUCACCAAGUCAGCGAUCUUUAGGGGGCCUGAGAGGGUGAUCCCCCACACUGGUACUGGGACACGGACCAGACUCCUACGGGAGGCAGCAGUGAGGAAUAUUGGACAAUGGGUGAGAGCCUGAUCCAGCCAUCCCGCGUGAAGGACGACGGCCCUAUGGGUUGUAAACUUCUUUUGGAUAGGGAUAAACCUAGAUACGUGUAUCUAGCUGAAGGUACUAUACGAAUAAGCACCGGCUAACUCCGUG
Molecule: ribosomal RNA, 479 nt
Filed under: uncultured bacterium
Lineage: Bacteria
Description: partial 16S ribosomal RNA
Rfam family: Bacterial small subunit ribosomal RNA
Source: RNAcentral